GCGUUGGUGGUAUAGUGGUUAGCAUAAUUGCCUUUCAAACAAUUGACCCGGGUCCGAUUCCCGGCCAACGCA
Non-coding RNA from Strongylocentrotus purpuratus (purple sea urchin), 72 nucleotides. NCBI's taxonomy places the organism in Eukaryota, Metazoa, Echinodermata, Echinoidea, Camarodonta, Strongylocentrotidae. The record is from Rfam.